RNAcentral lists this ribosomal RNA (253 nucleotides) under uncultured bacterium. RNAcentral's name for it is "partial 16S ribosomal RNA". It matches the Rfam family "Bacterial small subunit ribosomal RNA", at positions 524 to 776 of the family's 1533-position model. The record is from RNAcentral.
UACGGAGGAUCCAAGCGUUAUCCGGAUUUAUUGGGUUUAAAGGGUGCGUAGGCGGGUAGGUAAGUCAGUGGUGAAAUCUCCGAGCUUAACUUGGAAACUGCCGUUGAUACUAUCUAUCUUGAAUGCUGUGGAGGUUAGCGGAAUAUGUCAUGUAGCGGUGAAAUGCUUAGAUAUGACAUAGAACACCAAUUGCGAAGGCAGCUAGCUACACAGUUAUUGACGCUGAUGCACGAAAGCGUGGGGAUCAAACAGG